UCUUCUCUUCCCUUCUUCUUCUUCUUCUUCUUCCGUGUUCUCGUCCUGUGAGUGAUUUGAGAGGUAAAAAGGGUUUUUUGGGAUCAAGGAGAGCAGUGAAAAGAUCGAGGGUUAUUUGAUGGUGGUAGUAUAGGUUGAUCCGGUGAAACCAAAAACCAGCAGAAAAGUUAGUCUAUAUUAACAACGAUCGAUCCAAAGGAUGAACGAGUGGAUUGAGGAUCUCGAGGUAGGCGAGGCUUGUAAUCAAAUCAGUAAUUAGAAGAAAUGGAGCUCGGGAAGAUAUCCAUUUUCGUAACUUAGUGCUCUACCGAAUCUAGUGUUGUUAUGUGUUUUUUAUUAUAUGUAUUCUUCCUUUAUUCUGUAAAACAACACAUUUAUAUACUUAUAUAACAUGAGAGACUUUCAAACA
Long non-coding RNA from Papaver somniferum (opium poppy), 409 nucleotides. RefSeq lists it as uncharacterized. The record is from RefSeq and is a predicted model, not a curated record. The transcript is spliced from 3 exons. Lineage: Eukaryota; Viridiplantae; Streptophyta; Magnoliopsida; Ranunculales; Papaveraceae.